GACGAGCGCUGGCGGCGUGCCUAAUACAUGCAAGUUGAGCGCUGAAGGUUGGUACUUGUACCAACUGGAUGAGCAGCGAACGGGUGAGUAACGCGUGGGGAAUCUGCCUUUGAGCGGGGGACAACAUUUGGAAACGAAUGCUAAUACCGCAUAAAAACUUUAAACACAAGUUUUAAGUUUGAAAGAUGCAAUUGCAUCACUCAAAGAUGAUCCCGCGUUGUAUUAGCUAGUUGGUGAGGUAAAGGCUCACCAAGGCGAUGAUACAUAGCCGACCUGAGAGGGUGAUCGGCCACAUUGGGACUGAGACACGGCCCAAACUCCUACGGGAGGCAGCAGUAGGGAAUCUUCGGCAAUGGACGAAAGUCUGACCGAGCAACGCCGCGUGAGUGAAGAAGGUUGUCGGAUCGUAAAACUCUGUUGGUAGAGAAGAACGUUGGUGAGAGUGGAAAGCUCAUCAAGUGACGGUAACUACCCAGAAAGGGACGGCUAACUACGUG
This 497-nucleotide ribosomal RNA is filed under the name uncultured bacterium. RNAcentral describes it as "partial 16S ribosomal RNA". It matches the Rfam family "Bacterial small subunit ribosomal RNA", at positions 28 to 507 of the family's 1533-position model. The record is from RNAcentral.